This 778-nucleotide ribosomal RNA is filed under the name uncultured bacterium. Its description in RNAcentral is "bacterial SSU rRNA". It matches the Rfam family "Bacterial small subunit ribosomal RNA", at positions 8 to 771 of the family's 1533-position model. The record is from RNAcentral.
AGAGUUUGAUCCUGGCUCAGGACGAACGCUGGCGGCGUGCUUAACACAUGCAAGUCGAACGAGGUUCAGCCGAUCCUUCGGGGGAAGCGAAAAUCUAGUGGCGAACGGGUGCGUAACACGUGAGAAACCUGCCCCGGACUUGGGAAUAACAGUCGGAAACGGCUGCUAAUACCGAAUAUCUUCGUAGCGUCGCAUGGCGCAUCGAAGAAAGCUUUUGCGGUCUGGGAGGGUCUCGCGGCCUAUCAGCUAGUUGGUGAGGUAACGGCUCACCAAGGCAUCGACGGGUAGCUGGUCUGAGAGGACGAUCAGCCACACUGGGACUGAGACACGGCCCAGACUCCUACGGGAGGCAGCAGUGGGGAAUCUUGCGCAAUGGGCGAAAGCCUGACGCAGCGACGCCGCGUGAGGGAAGAAGGCCUUCGGGUUGUAAACCUCUUUCAGCAGGGACGAAGCUACUCGGGUUAACAGCCCAGAGGGUGACGGUACCUGUAGAAGAAGCCCCGGCUAACUACGUGCCAGCAGCCGCGGUAAUACGUAGGGGGCAAGCGUUGUCCGGAUUUACUGGGCGUAAAGAGCGUGUAGGCGGCCAAGCAGGUCUGUUGUGAAAACUGGAGGCUCAACCUCCAGACGUCGACAGAAACCGCUUGGCUAGAGUCCGGAAGAGGGGAGUGGAAUUCCUGUGUAGCGGUGAAAUGCGCAGAUAUCAGGAAGAACACCAAUGGCGAAGGCAGCUCUCUGGGACGGUACUGACGCUGAGACGCGAAAGCGUGGGGAGCGA